GUCUACGGCCAUGCCACCUUGAACAAGCCCAAUCCCGUCUGAUCUCGGAAGCUAAGUAGGGUCGGGCCUUGUUAGUACUUAUAUGGGAGACCACCUAGGAAGACCAGGUGCUGUAGGCA
RNAcentral lists this ribosomal RNA (119 nucleotides) under Pteropus alecto (black flying fox). Lineage: Eukaryota; Metazoa; Chordata; Mammalia; Chiroptera; Pteropodidae. The record is from RNAcentral.